UACGUAGGGUGCAAGCGUUAAUCGGAAUUACUGGGCGUAAAGCGUGCGCAGGCGGCUUUGCAAGACAGAUGUGAAAUCCCCGGGCUCAACCUGGGAACUGCAUUUGUGACUGCAAGGCUAGAGUACGGUAGAGGGGGAUGGAAUUCCGCGUGUAGCAGUGAAAUGCGUAGAUAUGCGGAGGAACACCGAUGGCGAAGGCAAUCCCCUGGACCUGUACUGACGCUCAUGCACGAAAACGUGGGGAGCAAACAGG
RNAcentral lists this ribosomal RNA (253 nucleotides) under uncultured bacterium. RNAcentral's name for it is "partial 16S ribosomal RNA". It matches the Rfam family "Bacterial small subunit ribosomal RNA", at positions 524 to 776 of the family's 1533-position model. The record is from RNAcentral.